GACGAACGCUGGCGGCGUGCUUAACACAUGCAAGUCGAACGGAAAGGCCCUGCUUUUGUGGGGUGCUCGAGUGGCGAACGGGUGAGUAACACGUGAGUAACCUGCCCUUGACUUUGGGAUAACUUCAGGAAACUGGGGCUAAUACCGGAUAGGAGCUCCUGCUGCAUGGUGGGGGUUGGAAAGUUUCGGCGGUUGGGGAUGGACUCGCGGCUUAUCAGCUUGUUGGUGGGGUAGUGGCUUACCAAGGCUUUGACGGGUAGCCGGCCUGAGAGGGUGACUGGCCACAUUGGGACUGAGAUACGGCCCAGACUCCUACGGGAGGCAGCAGUGGGGAAUAUUGCACAAUGGGCGGAAGCCUGAUGCAGCAACGCCGCGUGCGGGAUGACGGCCUUCGGGCUGUAAACCGCUUUCGCCUGUGACGAAGCGUGAGUGACGGUAAUGGGUAAAGAAGCACCGGCUAACUACGUG
RNAcentral lists this ribosomal RNA (468 nucleotides) under uncultured bacterium. RNAcentral's name for it is "partial 16S ribosomal RNA". It matches the Rfam family "Bacterial small subunit ribosomal RNA", at positions 28 to 507 of the family's 1533-position model. The record is from RNAcentral.